UGGGGAAUAUUGGACAAUGGGCGCAAGCCUGAUCCAGCCAUGCCGCGUGAGUGAUGAAGGCCCUAGGGUUGUAAAGCUCUUUUGUGCGGGAAGAUAAUGACGGUACCGCAAGAAUAAGCCCCGGCUAACUUCGUGCCAGCAGCCGCGGUAAUACGAAGGGGGCUAGCGUUGCUCGGAAUCACUGGGCGUAAAGGGUGCGUAGGCGGGUCUUUAAGUCAGGGGUGAAAUCCUGGAGCUCAACUCCAGAACUGCCUUUGAUACUGAAGAUCUUGAGUUCGGGAGAGGUGAGUGGAACUGCGAGUGUAGAGGUGAAAUUCGUAGAUAUUCGCAAGAACACCAGUGGCGAAGGCGGCUCACUGGCCCGAUACUGACGCUGAUGCACGAAAGCGUGGGGAGCAAACA
RNAcentral lists this ribosomal RNA (402 nucleotides) under uncultured bacterium. RNAcentral's name for it is "partial 16S ribosomal RNA". It matches the Rfam family "Bacterial small subunit ribosomal RNA", at positions 355 to 774 of the family's 1533-position model. RNAcentral also lists the same sequence under 1 other name. The record is from RNAcentral.